Cebus imitator (Panamanian white-faced capuchin) is the source of this 125-nucleotide long non-coding RNA. RefSeq lists it as uncharacterized. NCBI's taxonomy places the organism in Eukaryota, Metazoa, Chordata, Mammalia, Primates, Cebidae. The transcript has 3 exons. The record is from RefSeq and is a predicted model, not a curated record.
UGCAAAGAGAGAACUGAGAGGAGAAAGGAAAAAAGAAGAAUUUUUUUUUCAAAGGAGUCCCAGGGGUUCAGGAUGCAUUUGAAAGGGGUACAGACUGAAGAUGAAUGACUACUCAUCUAGAAAGA